UAAUAGGUUUUUCUUAAAACUACAUCACCUACCUAAUAAACCUUAU
Non-coding RNA from Picea glauca (white spruce), 46 nucleotides. NCBI's taxonomy places the organism in Eukaryota, Viridiplantae, Streptophyta, Pinopsida, Pinales, Pinaceae. The record is from Rfam.